Molecule: long non-coding RNA, 478 nt
Filed under: Elaeis guineensis (African oil palm)
Lineage: Eukaryota; Viridiplantae; Streptophyta; Magnoliopsida; Arecales; Arecaceae
Description: long non-coding RNA (EGUI_LNC034488)
Source: RNAcentral
UACUUAAUAUAUUGACUUGAUCAAUAAAUGAGCAAGUUUUAUUUUUAUUCAAGAUUGAUGUGUCCUAGAAUCGUCCAUGGAAUUAAUACUUCGAUACAUAUUCUCAAGAUGUUAAAAUUAGAGGUAUGUAUAAUUAAUUUCUAAAUACUCUCGAUCAUAAUAUCAUCAUGAGGACAGUGAUCAAUCGGGAUAGACCGACAUAUGGAUCGCUUCCUUCAGGAUAGAUGGGUCUCUGAUCUAUAGUGUAAAGAUACUGAGUGAUGAGUGCGGAUAGUUGUUAGAGAAUAACUAGUACUAAACGUGACCAUAUGAGAGAUCACUUAGAUUUCUACUCGAUCAUUAGUGAUUGUCUCGAUACUGUAGUUAUGUGAAUGAUCCUUUGAUCAUGAUGGUAUGACUGCUCAUAAUAAGGCUACUGGAGUUUGUUUAACACAUAAAUAUGGUCUCAACGAGUCCUUGUAGUGGAUGUUGGUGACAG